GAUGAACGCUAGCUACAGGCUUAACACAUGCAAGUCGAGGGGCAGCGGGAUUGAAGCUUGCUUCAAUCGCCGGCGACCGGCGCACGGGUGAGUAACGCGUAUCCAACCUUCCGUACACUCAGGGAUAGCCUUUCGAAAGAAAGAUUAAUACCUGAUGGUAUGAUGAGAUUGCAUGAUAGCAUCAUUAAAGAUUUAUCGGUGUACGAUGGGGAUGCGUUCCAUUAGGUAGUAGGCGGGGUAACGGCCCACCUAGCCAACGAUGGAUAGGGGUUCUGAGAGGAAGGUCCCCCACAUUGGAACUGAGACACGGUCCAAACUCCUACGGGAGGCAGCAGUGAGGAAUAUUGGUCAAUGGACGAGAGUCUGAACCAGCCAAGUAGCGUGAAGGAUGAAGGUCCUACGGAUUGUAAACUUCUUUUAUAAGGGAAUAAAACCUCCACGUGUGGGAGCUUGUAUGUACCUUAUGAAUAAGCAUCGGCUAACUCCGUGCCAGCAGCCG
Molecule: ribosomal RNA, 499 nt
Filed under: uncultured bacterium
Lineage: Bacteria
Description: bacterial SSU rRNA
Rfam family: Bacterial small subunit ribosomal RNA
Source: RNAcentral